This 74-nucleotide transfer RNA is filed under the name Candidatus Methanoperedentaceae archaeon. Its description in RNAcentral is "tRNA-Lys". It matches the Rfam family "tRNA". Rfam says of the family: Transfer RNA (tRNA) molecules are approximately 80 nucleotides in length. Their secondary structure includes four short double-helical elements and three loops (D, anti-codon, and T loops). Further hydrogen bonds mediate the characteristic L-shaped molecular structure. tRNAs have two regions of fundamental functional importance: the anti-codon, which is responsible for specific mRNA codon recognition, and the 3' end, to which the tRNAs corresponding amino acid is attached (by aminoacyl-tRNA synthetases). tRNAs cope with the degeneracy of the genetic code in two manners: having more than one tRNA (with a specific anti-codon) for a particular amino acid; and 'wobble' base-pairing, i.e. permitting non-standard base-pairing at the 3rd anti-codon position. The record is from RNAcentral. Lineage: Archaea; Methanobacteriati; Methanobacteriota; Methanomicrobia; Methanosarcinales; Candidatus Methanoperedentaceae.
GGGCUGGUAGCUUAGUCAGGCAGAGCGAUGGACUCUUAAUCCAUAGGUCGUGGGUUCAAAUCCCCCCCAGCCCG